Molecule: long non-coding RNA, 568 nt
Organism: Etheostoma cragini (Arkansas darter)
Lineage: Eukaryota; Metazoa; Chordata; Actinopteri; Perciformes; Percidae
Exons: 5
Source: RefSeq, a predicted model, not a curated record
UCUCACUAUAAAUUUGAAGACACUUCCUUUUUCCGGUCUCUUUGGACCGCGAGGUGUCUAUAUGCGGCGUGUGUUCACGUGUUCUCCCACUAAACUCAAACUAGUGGAUACUAUGUCCGGAUGUGCUGCAGAUGGAGGAGGAUAUGCUGGAAGAGGACGACUUAACUGUGUGUACAUUAUUAAUGUGAGAACGGCCUGGUAACAGCCAAGGCUAUUGUUGCCAUCAAGAAUCCAGGCGAUGUUGGUGUAUCUCCUCCAGGAGUACUGGACAGGAAAACUGAUGAGGGGUGCAGAAACUACAGUGGAAGGCUGUUGCCCCAGGGGCUGUGGUUAAAAAAAACAAAUCUCCAGGUAGCUCCCGGGAGAAGAUGUGCCUGAACUCUGGUUCUACAGAGACCUCGAGGAGAGGACCGAGUGCCCAAACUGCUGCUGAAGACUGGUCUGCAACCCACAGCACAGGCCUCCGACUGGGACGGUGCUGGCUCUGACUGGUCCAAAGUCAUGUCCAUCAAAAACACACAAAAGGGAAAGCACUGAGCUGAGAAAUUAAUAAAGUUGGCAGUUUUUU